UACGGGAGGCAGCAGUGGGGAAUAUUGCACAAUGGGCGAAAGCCUGAUGCAGCUAUGCCGCGUGUAUGAAGAAGGCCUUAGGGUUGUAAAGUACUUUCAUCGGGGAGGAAAAAACAAAACUAAUAAUUUUAUUUCUUGACGUUACCCGAAAAAGAAGCACCGGCUAACUCCGUGCCAGCAGCCGCGGUAAUACGGAGGGUGCUAGCGUUAAUCAGAAUUACUGGGCGUAAAGAGCACGUAGGUGGUUUUUUUAAAGUCAGAUGUGAAAUCCCUGGGCUUAACCUGGAACUGCAUUUUGAAACUGAAAUACUAGAGUAUCGUAGAGGGAGGUAGAAUUCUAGGUGUAGCGGUGAAAUGCGUAGAUAUCUGGAGGAAUACCUGUGGCGAAAGCGGCCUCCUAAACGAAUACUGACACUGAGGUGCGAAAGCGUGGGGAGCGAAACAGGGAUUAGAUACC
This 457-nucleotide ribosomal RNA is filed under the name uncultured bacterium. RNAcentral's name for it is "bacterial SSU rRNA". It matches the Rfam family "Bacterial small subunit ribosomal RNA", at positions 340 to 786 of the family's 1533-position model. The record is from RNAcentral.